This is a long non-coding RNA of Scylla paramamosain (green mud crab), 1576 nucleotides long. RefSeq lists it as uncharacterized. The record is from RefSeq and is a predicted model, not a curated record. NCBI's taxonomy places the organism in Eukaryota, Metazoa, Arthropoda, Malacostraca, Decapoda, Portunidae. The transcript has 3 exons.
CCUCCUCCUCCUCCUCCUCCUCCUCCUCCUCCUCACCUGUCCUCGCCCACAAAUUAGCAACUGCAGGGAGAUACACUUCCCCCCGACACUCCCUGACUGACGCCUUGCUCCUCCCGGCCUCGUCUCUGCCGCCUCGCCUCGUCUUGCUGUUCGCUGUUCGCCGUGCCUCGCUGCAGUGACGUGGCUCUUCCUGCGUGCUGUUGAGAGAUGGUAGUCGUGUUCUGGUGAGUUUUUGCCGCUGACGACGCGGGAUCCUUGUCAAACUAUCACUGGAAUCACGAAAACACCAUUGAAAACCUUAACAACUUUCACAAAUUUUUGAAGGCAAUGUUCAUUCAUCACGACUGUUUUGAAAGGCCAUAUGAUUAUGCCUCAUUUCCUUGAAUGUUUUCGCUUCAGAUGACGCGGAAUUCAUGUCAAACCAUCACGGGAAUCAUGAAAACUCCUUUGAAAACCUCCGUAUCUUUCUGUAGAGGCUCUGAGAAACGGUCGAGAUAGGAAGGCCGAAGUUUUGAGAAUUACCACCUGCUUCCAAAGGUGUGGAUUGCAGGUAAUUACAGGUCACGAUGUGCUAAAGUGGCGUGGACAGGUGGAGAGGAGAGAUAGGAGGUGAUAAGAGGGAAGGAGAGAACAAUAAAGAAGAAAAAAGAAGGAAGGAAAAAAAACAGAUUGAAUUAUUAAAUACCAAUUAAAAAAGGUGUUUAUAUAAAAGAUAGGAAAUAAAGAAAAGAGGAGAGAUAAAGGGAGAUAAGAAGGAAGGAAAGAACAAAAAAGAAGAAAAAGAAGGAAAACGUUGAAUUAUUAAAUAUCAAUCAAAAGUAGGUGUUUGUAUAGAAAAUAGCAAAUAAAGAUGAGAAGAGGGGAUAUAAGAGAUGAGAGGGAAGGAGCGAACAAUAAAGAAGAAAAAAAAGAAGGAAAAAACAGAUUGAAUAAUGAAAUACCAAUAAAAAUUAGUGUUUAUAUAAAAAAAAGUAAUAGCAAAUAAAGACGAGGAGUGGAAAGAGGAGAUAAGAGAGGACAACAAUAAAGAAGAAAAAAGAAAAAAAAGAAUGAUCAAAUAUCAACAAAAAAGGUGUUUAUAUAUGGAAACAGGAAAUAAGGAUGCAUUGAUAUAAGACGAUGUAUGGGAGAGAUAAAGGAGGAAAGAAAAAAAUGAUAAAAAAAAGAAGAAAAACAGUUGAAAUAAUUAAAUACCAAUAAAAAAAAAAAGGUAGAUGUUUAUAUAGAAAAUAGCAAAUAAAGAUAUGAGAAGAGAGAUAAGACGAGAUAAGAGCUAAGGAGAAAAUAAAGAAGAAGAAAAAAAUAGUUGAAGUGAGUAAAUGCCGUUAAAAAAAAAAGUAGGUGUUUAUAUAAAAAUACCAAAUGAAGAUAUAUGAACAUUACUUAAAAGACGGUGCGGACAAGACAAUGUAUGGGACCGAUAAAGAGAGAGAGAGAGAGAGAGAGAGAGGGAAGGAGAAAACAAUAAAAAGAAAAAUAGACAAAACAAAAACCAGUUAUUUACAUAGAAGCCAGCAAAUGGGAACAUACGAACAUCACUAAAACGCUUUGAACAAGAUGGUGUAUGGCAGAGAGA